This 201-nucleotide long non-coding RNA is filed under the name Mytilus galloprovincialis (Mediterranean mussel). Lineage: Eukaryota; Metazoa; Mollusca; Bivalvia; Mytilida; Mytilidae. The record is from RNAcentral.
GCAAUGAUAAAAUAACCAACCCAACUGUGUGUAGGACACUUUCACCUACUUCGUCGGAAUUUUAGUGAGGUAGGGAUGUUUUUGAACUUCGAGUAUCAAAGAAAUUGUUUAUAAAAUCCGCAACUUCACUGUCACAAUUGUUUUACUUUAACUGCUAAAAGCUAGAUGAUAUUUGUCAUCAAACGCAGUACCAUGUUUGAC